AGUCGGCUGACGUGGCGUAACGCCACGUCAGCCUCUAUUAAAAAAAAUGAAAAAUGAAAUACGAAAUAUAAACGAAAACCAAAACCGGUGCAGAUUGAAAGCAUUUCCGAAAAGAGUGAUUUCCCGCUUCUUCCAUUCGCGAGCCCCCCAGAACUGAAAGGAGGAAGACUACCUCGUCGUGGGUGCAGAGAGCUGUUGCCGUUGGGUGGGUUGAUUUCGGGUUGGUCCGGUCUGCGUUGGAGUGGGUCAAAGGCCGAUCAUUGUUGUUGGUUUCAGUUGAGAUUGGGCACCAUGGGUCGUCAUUUUCGUGGGUUUUUCGUGUGGGUCUUCUUCGUCAGCAGCUUCAUUAGGUGUAAGAUCCAGUUUUUUCUUUUCUCAGUCUACAUUUCUUCAACCGUUUCUUCCUGUAUUGGAGUGUCCUUGCGUGAUUGCUACGUUUAUGGCUUUUCAUAUUCGGCUUGAAAUUGCCCCUUGGAAGUUCAAAACCGCUCUGAGAAAAAAGAGGUCGAGGUAAAGCACAUUAUUUUCCUUUGCAACUUGAUCUUUUCUGUCAUUCUUGCUCUUUCAUUUUUCUCCAUCACACGCCUACAUUUUUUGUUUCAGGUAUUGAUGAACCCUUUAGGUGACUGGUUUUUUUUUUGGGAUUAUUGUUAUACUACAUUAUGGAUUUGUUAGCUCUGUCUUGCUCGAAACAGUUUAAAUUGCUUAAAAUAGAUAAGGUUUUGGUCUCUGAAUUGGGCAAUAUGUAAAAUACAAUGCUUUCUUUCCCUGUUCUAUUGUCUUUGUUUUCUCUUUUCGGUACCCUCACA
Carya illinoinensis is the source of this 809-nucleotide long non-coding RNA. RefSeq lists it as uncharacterized. The transcript has 2 exons. Lineage: Eukaryota; Viridiplantae; Streptophyta; Magnoliopsida; Fagales; Juglandaceae. The record is from RefSeq and is a predicted model, not a curated record.